RNAcentral lists this ribosomal RNA (1441 nucleotides) under uncultured bacterium. Its description in RNAcentral is "bacterial SSU rRNA". It matches the Rfam family "Bacterial small subunit ribosomal RNA". The record is from RNAcentral.
GACGAGAAAGGGGUAGCAAUAUCCCGAGUAAAGUGGCGCACGGGUGAGUAACACGUAAGUAAUCUACCUUUAGGUUCGGAAUAACUCCGAGAAAUCGGGGCUAAUACCGGAUGAUGCAGCGGAUCCACAUGGAUAUGUUGUUAAAGUCUAUACGACGCCUAAAGAUGAGCUUGCGGCCGAUUAGCUAGUUGGUAGGGUAACGGCCUACCAAGGCAACGAUCGGUAGCUGGUCUGAGAGGAUGAUCAGCCACACUGGAACUGAGACACGGUCCAGACUCCUACGGGAGGCUGCAGUCGAGAAUCUUUCGCAAUGCCCGGAAGGGUGACGAAGCGACGCCGCGUGUGGGAAGAAGGCCUUCGGGUUGUAAACCACUGUCGGGAGUUAAGAAGUGUAAGGGGGUGAAUAGUCCUCUUACUUGACGUUAGCUCCGGAGGAAGCCACGGCUAACUCUGUGCCAGCAGCCGCGGUAAUACAGAGGUGGCAAGCGUUGUUCGGAAUUAUUGGGCGUAAAGAGCACGUAGGCGGCCCUACAAGUCAGCUGUGAAAUCCUUCUGCUCAACGGAAGAACGGCAGUUGAUACUAUAGGGCUGGAGUGCGGGAGGGGAGAGUGGAACUUCUGGUGGAGCGGUGAAAUGCGUAGAUAUCAGAAGGAACAUCGGCGGCGAAAGCGACUCUCUGGCCCGUAACUGACGCUGAGGUGCGAAAGCUAGGGGAGCAAACGGGAUUAGAUACCCCGGUAGUCCUAGCCGUAAACGAUGGGCACUCGGUAGAGGGGUUUUGAUUAUCUCUCUGCCUGAGCUAACGCGUUAAGUGCCCCGCCUGGGGAGUACGGCCGCAAGGCUAAAACUCAAAAGAAUUGACGGGGGCUCGCACAAGCGGUGGAGCAUGUGGCUUAAUUCGAUGCAACACGAAGAACCUUACCGGGGCUUGACAUGGUAGAAGUAGGAGCCCGAAAGGGUAACGAACGGUAUCCAGUCCGUAGCUAUCACAGGUGUUGCAUGGCUGUCGUCAGCUCGUGUCGUGAGACGUUGGGUUAAGUCCUCUAACGAGCGAAACCCUUGUCUUUAGUUGCCAACAGGUCAAGCUGGGCACUCUAAAGAGACUGCUGUCGUCAAGACGGAGGAAGGUGGGAUGACGUCAAGUCAUCAUGGCCCUUAUGUCCCGGGCUGCACACGGGCUACAAUGGUCGGUACAAAGGGAUGCCAAGUCGCAAGACGGAGCGAAACCCAAAUAAAGCCGAUCCCAGUUCAGAUUGGAGGCUGAAACCCGCCUCCAUGAAGUAGGAAUCGCUAGUAAUCGCGGAUCAGCUAUGCCGCGGUGAAUAUGUUCCCGAGCCUUGUACACACCGCCCGUCAAGCCACCCAAGCAAGAUGCACCCGAAGCCACUGGCCUAACCCGCAAGGGACGGAAGUGUCUAAGGUGUGUUUUGUGAGGAGGACU